This 670-nucleotide ribosomal RNA is filed under the name uncultured bacterium. Its description in RNAcentral is "partial 16S ribosomal RNA". It matches the Rfam family "Bacterial small subunit ribosomal RNA", at positions 78 to 746 of the family's 1533-position model. The record is from RNAcentral.
CUUUCGGGCGUGAGAGACCGGUGCACGGGUGCGUAACGCGUAUAGAACCUACCUUUUACAGAGGGAUAGCCCAGAGAAAUUUGGAUUAAUACCUCAUAAUAUUGUUGAAUGGCAUCNNNUGANNNNNAAAGUUNNNNCGGUNNNNGAUGGCUAUGCGUCCUAUUAGUUAGUUGGUGAGGUAACGGCUCACCAAGACAUCGAUAGGUAGGGGUCCUGAGAGGGAGAUCCCCCACACUGGUACUGAGACACGGACCAGACUCCUACGGGAGGCAGCAGUGAGGAAUAUUGGACAAUGGGCGCAAGCCUGAUCCAGCCAUGCCGCGUGCAGGAAGACGGCCCUAUGGGUUGUAAACUGCUUUUAUACAGGAAGAAACACUCCCUCGUGAGGGAACUUGACGGUACUGUAUGAAUAAGCACCGGCUAACUCCGUGCCAGCAGCCGCGGUAAUACGGAGGGUACAAGCGUUAUCCGGAAUCAUUGGGUUUAAAGGGUCCGUAGGCGGAUAAUUAAGUCAGAGGUGAAAUCCCACAGCUUAACUGUGGAACUGCCUUUGAUACUGGUUAUCUUGAGUUACAUUGAAGUAGAUAGAAUGUGUAGUGUAGCGGUGAAAUGCUUAGAUAUUACACAGAAUACCGAUUGCGAAGGCAGUUUACUAAAUGUACACUGACGC